This 468-nucleotide ribosomal RNA is filed under the name uncultured bacterium. RNAcentral's name for it is "partial 16S ribosomal RNA". It matches the Rfam family "Bacterial small subunit ribosomal RNA", at positions 28 to 507 of the family's 1533-position model. The record is from RNAcentral.
GACGAACGCUGGCGGCGUGCUUAACACAUGCAAGUCGAACGGAAAGGCCCUGCUUUUGUUGGGUACUCGAGUGGCGAACGGGUGAGUAACACGUGGGUAACCUGCCCUUGACUUUGGGAUAACUUCGGGAAACUGGGGCUAAUACCGGAUAGGAGCUCCUCCUGCAUGGUGGGGGUGGGAGAUUUUCCGGGGUUGGGGGUGGACUCGGGGCUUCUGAGCUUGUUGGGGGGGUAGUGGCUUACCAAGGGUGUGACGGGUACGGGGCCGGAGGGGGUGACCGGCCAAAUGGGGACUGGGAACGGGCCCAGACCCCUAGGGGGGGAGGCAGUGGGGAAUUUUGCAAAUGGGGGCGAACCCUGAGCCAGGAACGCGGGGGGGGGGAUGCCGGCCUCCGGUUUUAAAACCCCUUUGGCAUGUGCCGAACCGUGUGUGACGGUAAUGGGUAAAGAAGCACCGGCUAACUACGUG